GUUUAACUCAUAGUACUUGGUGAAAUCCUAAGGGAUAGGUUCUUAAAUGUUGACUGUAUUUCUCUCUCCAGAGUCACAAUCACUGAAUAAAGAGAAACGGGCUUUGUACAUCAAAAGUACAAUCAAACACAAUAAAUAUGACUUAUCAGUUCUAAAUGCAGGAAGUGCUACUUGUAAACAUAAACGAUACAAAUCCUGUAAAAUCCCCCACAGAAGAGUUCACCAGAAGAGUGCAAAAACAAAACAAAACAAUGCUCUUGAGGAUUCAGUGUCAUUUGCACAGUGCUACACAAUAAUGCCUCACCAGAAAAGGUAGUACCUGAGUGUAAAAGUUAUCUAUCAUCUUGCACUGUUUUUUUUUUUUUGGAGGGUGGUGUGAAGGGGAGAGAGGUGGAGAGAUAAACAGCAGGAAACACCUUCGCUCACUCACCCGCCUACCAGCGACAAUGAGUUAUUAAAAGCUCAGGCUUCCUCUGAGCAACUGGACAUGUUGAACCAGAUAAAUGGCGAUACAGGGUGGGAUGUGGCCAGAAGAAAGGAGCAAUUUAAAUCACAUUCAUCCCUUUCACCAUAAACUUACCAAGCAAUAUUCUUUUUAACUGGGACUUGUUUCUAAGUUCAAGUUAAAUCAUGAGUUGUCUGCUUUGAGGCAAGUCCAGUCCCAAGUUCUAGAGUCUAGUUUUGCGUCCCAAUACAUUUUUGAGUCUUAAAUGGGUCACUCUGUGAGGAAGUGUUACCUAUGCAGAGCUGCAGAAGUUUAUUUCACUGCAGAAGCGUAUAAAGAAUGUGUUUAAAAUCUGGUCAAUUAAAUUCCUUUUAUUUACUUUUUAUGUUUUUUUUUUAGUCUCAAUGUCUUUGGACAGCGUAAAAAAAGCAGAGAAGUCCCUGAAGAAUGUUGAGUUAGUUGGAGUAGGACAUCAGAGACUUUUAAAUAACAGCAGCAACUGACAAUAAAAGAACAAAAGGUACACAACAAUAAUAUUCUCUUAGAGAGGCCAUGGCACAGUUUGAUCAGUUGUUUACUGUAUAUUCAAACUAUUUGGUGAAGAUAAAUGGUAGAAUGGCAUGCCAUAGCUGAAAGCAAGAAUGAUUAUAUAAUUAGUAAAAUGUAGGUAAUACAUACCAUUCUCCUCCCCUCCUGAUUUGACUCCCAAAAGCAUGACCCCAUCUUUGUUAUUCUCUGUCCUUUGGAAUGAAGCACUGAGAUUUCAGUAGCAACUUCUCUGUUCCAUGAUUCAUGGUCUCAACU
Long non-coding RNA from Ictalurus punctatus (channel catfish), 1249 nucleotides. Lineage: Eukaryota; Metazoa; Chordata; Actinopteri; Siluriformes; Ictaluridae. The record is from Ensembl.